RNAcentral lists this long non-coding RNA (12357 nucleotides) under Daucus carota (carrot). RNAcentral describes it as "long non-coding RNA (DCAR_LNC001441)". The record is from RNAcentral. Lineage: Eukaryota; Viridiplantae; Streptophyta; Magnoliopsida; Apiales; Apiaceae.
GUAGCACCGGUUACCCGUGCAUCCCCUGCUCAGGCUAACAUGGUCGCGCCUUUCACCGGCCUCAAGUCCAUCGCAUCAUUCCCCGUCACCCGAAAGCUUGAGAAUGACAUUACCUCUAUUACCAGCAACGGAGGAAGAGUUCAAUGCAUGAAGGUAUAUAUCUAUACUACUUAAUACUCAGAUAUAUUAUGUGCUAAUGAGGAACCAGUAUAACAUGGCAGAACAUUUCUUAGUUAGUUAUUGCUCAUUUGCUCUCAAAGUAGCACAAUUCUAAGUCAGAUAAAGCAGUCCUAGGUAACUUUAGAGUGAGUAACUUCAGAAUUUUCCUUGAAUAUGUCAAUAAUAUACAAAAAUUAUGUCAACACCUCGAUUAAAAGAUUGUUUUGCUUGUAUUUUCCUCCUGAGCUGAUCUGAGAAAUUUUGUUCUCAAGUCAAACAAUUAGAGACUUUAGCUCAAGAGAAAUGUCACCCCCUGGCAUUGUAGCCUGCGGGAUGUCCUCUAUAUUUUACCAUAGUAACCAUGUCGCCCCUCAAGUGAAGUAGAAUUUAAUUCAAUAAUGAAAUUGAACUACCCAGUAGAGGAAAUUUCUAGUUUUUUUGUAUAAUUUCCACCUUAGCUUGCUCUUAGUAACCCCCCUCAGUCUCAUUAAAUAGUCGGAAAUGUAUAUUCUUAUGAAGACAUGAUCACGUUCUUCAAAUUUUGCAAUCCAACACUGUUUCUAGACAAAUAUACAAUCUGUCGGUUUGUAAUUGAGUAAAUAUGACAUUCACAAAAUAUAUCAAGGAGAACACACCUUGGUUCUGAAAGUGAAUGAUAAAUUAGUUAGGUAACAUAUGUGAAUGGUGCAAGUGCAGGUAUGGCCACCAAUUAACAUGAAGAAGUUCGAGACACUCUCAUACCUUCCUCCUCUCACCACCGAACAAUUGGCAAAGGAGGUCGACUACCUUCUCCGUUCCGGAUGGGUUCCUUGUCUGGAAUUCGAGUUGGAGGUAAGCACUUUCUUCCUACACAUUUUUCAUGUUCUCUGUUACAUGUUUCUUGACAUUGCUGAUGACAAUUGUGUGUUAAACCAAUAUGCAGCACGGUUUCGUGUACCGUGAGCACAACAAAUCUCCCGGAUACUAUGACGGACGAUACUGGGUUAUGUGGAAGCUUCCCAUGUUCGGGUGCACCGACUCAUCGCAGGUGUUGAAGGAGCUUGAUGAGUGCGUCAAGGAGUACCCCCAGGCGUACGUCCGUAUCAUCGGAUUCGACAACGUUCGCCAAGUCCAGUGCAUCAGUUUCAUUGCUCACCAGCCAGAAUGCUGAUCAAUCUGUCUGUUGAUUUCAUAUAUUUAUCAAUCUUGUUCGGCUCAUAUAUAAACUUCUUGCAAUCUCAUUUCAUUUCUUUCCGUUUUAAAUUUCUUACUUGUAUCUCCAACACAAGGAAAUUGGAACUAUAGAGGAUUAUAUGUAGCGAUUGUUGGUGAUUAUAUAUAUCUACUUGUUUGUUUUCCCUGCACCUUCUAAAUACUUGCAUCAUAUGCUUUCAUGUCGUGAUGUACUUUUUUAUAUAUCUCCGAUUCUCCAUGCAGUAAUUAACCACUACGGUCUUUUUACACCAACAAAUUAUAUGAUAACAUAUAGAAACAGUUCAUUGCUUCCGUAAUAUCUGCCUUGGUACAUGUUCUCUUGUAUCACUACAAAACCUUUCACGUCCAACAAUGUGAAAGCAAAUUCUCUGUAAUAGAAAUGGACAUCUGCUAGCGACAUUUCAGAUAAUAAUAAAGUGUACUUAUGCACCAUCUGGUUGGAAGGAAUGAACGGGAAAAACAUGAACAAAAUCAAAGGUAAACGAGAAGUAUACAAGAGUGAAGAGUGAUGAAGAACUAGAAAGUGCAGACUUUAUUAUGAGUUUCACAAUAUAAUGAGUAAAAUAUAGGAAUGAUCAUUUAUCCCUAUAUUGGUAAGAUUGAGAUAUUAGUUUUUUUUUGUGUGCCAAACUAGUACAAAUUUCAUUUCAUUCUCCCUAAACGUAAUUCUUCCAACAAAAUGGGGCAUUACAUAAAGGUAUAAAGAUGAGGAGAUUAAAGAUUGACAGCUGCGAUAAGGGAAGGUAUGGAAAACAUGUGUAACUAUAUAAAUGUCGAACACCAAUAAGAUCCAAAUAACUCAGAUAACAUCCAAACUCAGUAACAAAUUGGUUAACAGAUAAAAUUCAGAAGCGAAUGCAAAAUAGUUUAUAAAAUUAGAUUCUAAGAUUCAAAAUUUCUAGUAUUCAGAUUAUAUGCAGAUGAAAGAGGAAGGGAGAUUUAUUGAAUAAUUUAGGCUUGACAAAACACAAUAAAAUGAUACACAUAGACUAGUAUACUCUAAUACUUAAUGAGCAGCAUAUAUUCUUAUUCUUAACUACCGUCUAUUCUAUUAUAUCAAAGAAACAUAAAUUAUUGCAAAGCUGUAAAUUCACAUUAAGAAGCUUAAACAAAUUACACAACUAGAAAUCAACCACUCAAAUUGGAUAUAAUUGGAUAAAUAUCUAAAGAGAUCAUAACUAAGAACCCUAAUUUCAAAGUUAUAAAUGUAUGUAUAUAAAUGAUUCAAAAAUCAGAACUCUGUAACACAAAAAAGCUAGCUGAACUGAGAUGAAGUAGAAAGCAGCAACAAAACAUUUAUGAAUUAAAUAUCUAAAGCUGAUCUAAUUACAAACAUCAACUCACAGUUAUCAAGAGGGGUGUAUUGGAUUGGGAUUUUAAAUCAUUUUUUUGCAUUCAUGAAAUCCGAGGGUAUUCGAUUGAGAUUAUUUGAAAUGCAUUAAAAUCUUGGGGUAUUCAAUUGGGAUUUUGAAUUAUGCUACAAAAUCUGGUGGUAUUCAAUUGGGAUUUUAAAUUAUGCUUUAAAAUCCGGUGGUAUUCAAUUCGGAUUGUUUAAAAUCCAUUAAAAUCUGAUGGUAUUCAAAUGUUGUCGGAUUUUUUUUCAUUUCAUAAAAUGGUGGAUUUUGUGGCAUUGUUCGAUGUAUUUUAAGUUUUAUGAAAUCCCACCAAAAUCAAUGGGAUUUUGAAGCAUUGUGCUUAAAUCCUAUCAACUCUGCGACAUUUCAUCAAGAAUCCGCACAAAAUCAAAAUCACAUGCAAUCCAUUAAAAUCCAUAGACUAAAAACAAUCCAUUAAAAUCUCAAUCGAAUACACCCCCGCAAUUUAUUAAUCAGAUGAGAGGAAGGAAGGGAGAGGGUCAGAGGGAGAGGGAGAGGGAGAGAGAGAGAGAGAGAGGAGUUACAGUGCUACGGCGACGUUCAGCGGCGAUGGAGAAGCCAAAAGCGACCAAGCAUAGUAUUAUUACAAGAAGAUGAACGAGAGAUGAGCCUUUCCCUGCCCCCAUUAUUGUUUCUAAGGGCAUCUUUGAUCACAAUUUCAAGCUUCAUAUUUUUUUCACUUUUAAUUUUAUAGAUAGAUUAAUCAAUCUCCAAUCAUCCAUUUAUCUUCCUAUGUAAAGUCAUUUACUAGAUAAAUUAUAUUAUUUUAUAAAAAAAAAUUAAAUAACGAAAUAUAUGAUCUUUCUCGGAUGAAGAUAACUUGCAAAUUUAAUGGUAUAGUUUAGAAAUUGGGGUUGAGAAGUACCAGUAGUUAUGCUAUAUUUACCUGAUGAUCUCGUAUCGUAACUUUUUUUACACGUGGGAUUUUUUUGCUUACAGCUCAUACUCUAUAACACACUUCCGCCAUUUCACAUGUGACUUCAUCUUUUGACCAGGGUUCUGUAAAUAGAAUUUUGAGCAAGAUCCCCUUAAUACAUAACUGAAUAAACAACACUCGUAGAGAUGAAUUCUGCUGGCGGAACUAGGGAAGAAACCCUAGCUUAGUCAAAGUUUUUUUUUUCUUCCAGAUAUUUGUUUUUUUUCAGAUAUUUUUUUAUUUGAGCUCUUAAAAAUAACAGUGAACCAAUAAAAAGUAUUUAUUGUGCAAAUUUUAAUUCUAGAUUAUUUUGAUUCAUGUCAUAUUGUCAUUGACUAACAGGCCAAAGUCAUUUUGUUAAUGGGCUCUAUUUUCUUGACCAAAAUCAUACUGUUUCCCCUACUAUUAUCCUGAGCCCAUGUUUUCAAAUUUCAAUUACGCCCAACCACCAGUCCAGAGUAGUUGUUGUUGGGCCACAAGGUAACCAUCCAAUGUCUAAACUAAUCAUAGUCCAAAUAAAAUUUUUUCAUAAAAACUGCGUGUACGUGAAUCCAGGGCAGAGGACUGAACAUGACUCCACUUGAGUUGAGCAAGAAAACCGCAAUCAUAUAUCUUUGAUUUUUAAAAUUGAAAACCGCAACCGUCAAUCGGGGUCGGUUUCGGUUUCGGUUUAAGAAACUUCGAUUCGGUUAAUAGUCGGCUCGGUUUCGAUUACAAAAUCGACAAAUAUAAGAAUGAAAAAUAGUACACAAACGAGACAAAUUAAUGCACGUAAUCUAGACAUAAUAAUUAAUAUAAUAUUAAAAUUUAACAAAAGUAACCGUAUUUUAUUUAAAACACUCUUGCCAGUAAUAUAAAACUAGUCUUAGUCAGAAUUUUCAUACAGAAUACGAAUCAGAACUUCCGGCUGAUUGGCUUUUUUAACACAUGCUUCAUGAAGAUUGAGAAAAUGUGACAGGGAAAAUAGGAAAUACAGAUUGGCAGUGGCCAGUCAGCAUGAGAUAUUCACUGAACAUCAAAUAUUAACAUAGACGGAUGUUUCUGUAAGUGUUAGAAUAGAUUUAUUAUAUUUAUUACAUAUUACAUAUAUUAUUUAUUAUUAUUUUAAUAACCGGUUCCGUUUGGUUUUUAUUGGUUCGGUUGGGAGGUAUAACCGGAACCAAACCGUUUAAAUCAGAUCAAUUUUUAAUUUUUCGGUUUCUAAUUGGUUUUUUUGAGUUUUUCCAAAUUUCGAUUCGUUUUGAUUUUAAAUCGGUUUUUUGCUAAGUCCUAAAUUAAGGUAUGGGUUCAAUUAUAGACAAGGUUAAGCUUACUUUUUAAAAAGUCUAACAUCACAAGUAAAUGGUUCACAAGUAAAUGGUCUUAAAACUAUAAAGAAACCAGGAUUGAAGCUCAAAAAUUAUCACCACUACACCCUUUUUUCGUGGUGCAACAAAUUUGGCCUAAAUCAAACGCAAAUCAAACGCAUUUAUACAAGACAAAUGACAGUCUUAAUAUAGGAUUACCCCAUUUUGGUUCAACCAUGAACACUGUUUGAACUAUGCGAUAGUUUCUUUACUAAAAUAUACUUCAGACUCUGGAACUGGAAGGACUAUGGGCCACUUAAAUGCAGCAUAUAUCUUGCAAUUUGAGCUCGAUAAUGGCAAAUUCCAAAUGCAAUCUAUCCACACAUUACACUCAAGUGCGAAAGAAUGAUCCAUGUAUUUUAAGGGUUUUGGUUCCUGGCAUGUGUACAUCAGGGAGUACUUAUAUAACAUACUGAUUUUGGAUCGUUGGAUGAUAUAUGCAUCUAACGGACAUAAUUAUAAAAAAAAUUCGUCAUGCUCAAUUUUUUUUUAUUUGUUUUUUUGCAUAUGAUAUGUAACUUGAAUAAUAAGAGGAAGGGGGAAAGUGAUGCAACUGCAAUUGAAGAAGUCAGUAGUCACUUAUUUAAAUUUCAAAGUACAAAGCCCAAAUAAGCAAUUUCCAAAGAGCUAAGCAAUGAAGGGCCAAGAAAUGGCUAGCUACUGCUAAAGAAAGCAAGUCCUCAUUCCUUGAUCAGAAGAGAUAAGGCAACCGCUCUCAUGCCACGUGUCAACUCAAUAAGAGUGUUUAAUGAUAAGGCAACCAAUCCAAAUUGCUCACACUGUGUGGCUACCAUGUUGCCUUGUCAACUUCACUGUAAUUCAAUGGUCAGAAAAAUUCUGAACUUUAGGAGGUGAAUUGGGAACCAUUGGAUCAGCAGGUUAAACGAUAAUGAGAUGAAAUGCCUAUAUAUUGGAUAGGUGAAGGAACAGAAGCAAGCCUCUCAAACACAAGAGAAGAAAGUAAAAGAACAAGAAGAGAGUAUUAGUACUCAUGGCUUCUUCAAUGAUAUCAUCAGUAGCACCGGUUACCCGUGCAUCCCCUGCUCAGGCUAACAUGGUCGCGCCUUUCACCGGCCUCAAGUCCAUCGCAUCAUUCCCCGUCACCCGAAAGCUUGAGAAUGACAUUACCUCUAUUACCAGCAACGGAGGAAGAGUUCAAUGCAUGAAGGUAUAUAUCUAUACUACUUAAUACUCAGAUAUAUUAUGUGCUAAUGAGGAACCAGUAUAACAUGGCAGAACAUUUCUUAGUUAGUUAUUGCUCAUUUGCUCUCAAAGUAGCACAAUUCUAAGUCAGAUAAAGCAGUCCUAGGUAACUUUAGAGUGAGUAACUUCAGAAUUUUCCUUGAAUAUGUCAAUAAUAUACAAAAAUUAUGUCAACACCUCGAUUAAAAGAUUGUUUUGCUUGUAUUUUCCUCCUGAGCUGAUCUGAGAAAUUUUGUUCUCAAGUCAAACAAUUAGAGACUUUAGCUCAAGAGAAAUGUCACCCCCUGGCAUUGUAGCCUGCGGGAUGUCCUCUAUAUUUUACCAUAGUAACCAUGUCGCCCCUCAAGUGAAGUAGAAUUUAAUUCAAUAAUGAAAUUGAACUACCCAGUAGAGGAAAUUUCUAGUUUUUUUGUAUAAUUUCCACCUUAGCUUGCUCUUAGUAACCCCCCUCAGUCUCAUUAAAUAGUCGGAAAUGUAUAUUCUUAUGAAGACAUGAUCACGUUCUUCAAAUUUUGCAAUCCAACACUGUUUCUAGACAAAUAUACAAUCUGUCGGUUUGUAAUUGAGUAAAUAUGACAUUCACAAAAUAUAUCAAGGAGAACACACCUUGGUUCUGAAAGUGAAUGAUAAAUUAGUUAGGUAACAUAUGUGAAUGGUGCAAGUGCAGGUAUGGCCACCAAUUAACAUGAAGAAGUUCGAGACACUCUCAUACCUUCCUCCUCUCACCACCGAACAAUUGGCAAAGGAGGUCGACUACCUUCUCCGUUCCGGAUGGGUUCCUUGUCUGGAAUUCGAGUUGGAGGUAAGCACUUUCUUCCUACACAUUUUUCAUGUUCUCUGUUACAUGUUUCUUGACAUUGCUGAUGACAAUUGUGUGUUAAACCAAUAUGCAGCACGGUUUCGUGUACCGUGAGCACAACAAAUCUCCCGGAUACUAUGACGGACGAUACUGGGUUAUGUGGAAGCUUCCCAUGUUCGGGUGCACCGACUCAUCGCAGGUGUUGAAGGAGCUUGAUGAGUGCGUCAAGGAGUACCCCCAGGCGUACGUCCGUAUCAUCGGAUUCGACAACGUUCGCCAAGUCCAGUGCAUCAGUUUCAUUGCUCACCAGCCAGAAUGCUGAUCAAUCUGUCUGUUGAUUUCAUAUAUUUAUCAAUCUUGUUCGGCUCAUAUAUAAACUUCUUGCAAUCUCAUUUCAUUUCUUUCCGUUUUAAAUUUCUUACUUGUAUCUCCAACACAAGGAAAUUGGAACUAUAGAGGAUUAUAUGUAGCGAUUGUUGGUGAUUAUAUAUAUCUACUUGUUUGUUUUCCCUGCACCUUCUAAAUACUUGCAUCAUAUGCUUUCAUGUCGUGAUGUACUUUUUUAUAUAUCUCCGAUUCUCCAUGCAGUAAUUAACCACUACGGUCUUUUUACACCAACAAAUUAUAUGAUAACAUAUAGAAACAGUUCAUUGCUUCCGUAAUAUCUGCCUUGGUACAUGUUCUCUUGUAUCACUACAAAACCUUUCACGUCCAACAAUGUGAAAGCAAAUUCUCUGUAAUAGAAAUGGACAUCUGCUAGCGACAUUUCAGAUAAUAAUAAAGUGUACUUAUGCACCAUCUGGUUGGAAGGAAUGAACGGGAAAAACAUGAACAAAAUCAAAGGUAAACGAGAAGUAUACAAGAGUGAAGAGUGAUGAAGAACUAGAAAGUGCAGACUUUAUUAUGAGUUUCACAAUAUAAUGAGUAAAAUAUAGGAAUGAUCAUUUAUCCCUAUAUUGGUAAGAUUGAGAUAUUAGUUUUUUUUUGUGUGCCAAACUAGUACAAAUUUCAUUUCAUUCUCCCUAAACGUAAUUCUUCCAACAAAAUGGGGCAUUACAUAAAGGUAUAAAGAUGAGGAGAUUAAAGAUUGACAGCUGCGAUAAGGGAAGGUAUGGAAAACAUGUGUAACUAUAUAAAUGUCGAACACCAAUAAGAUCCAAAUAACUCAGAUAACAUCCAAACUCAGUAACAAAUUGGUUAACAGAUAAAAUUCAGAAGCGAAUGCAAAAUAGUUUAUAAAAUUAGAUUCUAAGAUUCAAAAUUUCUAGUAUUCAGAUUAUAUGCAGAUGAAAGAGGAAGGGAGAUUUAUUGAAUAAUUUAGGCUUGACAAAACACAAUAAAAUGAUACACAUAGACUAGUAUACUCUAAUACUUAAUGAGCAGCAUAUAUUCUUAUUCUUAACUACCGUCUAUUCUAUUAUAUCAAAGAAACAUAAAUUAUUGCAAAGCUGUAAAUUCACAUUAAGAAGCUUAAACAAAUUACACAACUAGAAAUCAACCACUCAAAUUGGAUAUAAUUGGAUAAAUAUCUAAAGAGAUCAUAACUAAGAACCCUAAUUUCAAAGUUAUAAAUGUAUGUAUAUAAAUGAUUCAAAAAUCAGAACUCUGUAACACAAAAAAGCUAGCUGAACUGAGAUGAAGUAGAAAGCAGCAACAAAACAUUUAUGAAUUAAAUAUCUAAAGCUGAUCUAAUUACAAACAUCAACUCACAGUUAUCAAGAGGGGUGUAUUGGAUUGGGAUUUUAAAUCAUUUUUUUGCAUUCAUGAAAUCCGAGGGUAUUCGAUUGAGAUUAUUUGAAAUGCAUUAAAAUCUUGGGGUAUUCAAUUGGGAUUUUGAAUUAUGCUACAAAAUCUGGUGGUAUUCAAUUGGGAUUUUAAAUUAUGCUUUAAAAUCCGGUGGUAUUCAAUUCGGAUUGUUUAAAAUCCAUUAAAAUCUGAUGGUAUUCAAAUGUUGUCGGAUUUUUUUUCAUUUCAUAAAAUGGUGGAUUUUGUGGCAUUGUUCGAUGUAUUUUAAGUUUUAUGAAAUCCCACCAAAAUCAAUGGGAUUUUGAAGCAUUGUGCUUAAAUCCUAUCAACUCUGCGACAUUUCAUCAAGAAUCCGCACAAAAUCAAAAUCACAUGCAAUCCAUUAAAAUCCAUAGACUAAAAACAAUCCAUUAAAAUCUCAAUCGAAUACACCCCCGCAAUUUAUUAAUCAGAUGAGAGGAAGGAAGGGAGAGGGUCAGAGGGAGAGGGAGAGGGAGAGAGAGAGAGAGAGAGGAGUUACAGUGCUACGGCGACGUUCAGCGGCGAUGGAGAAGCCAAAAGCGACCAAGCAUAGUAUUAUUACAAGAAGAUGAACGAGAGAUGAGCCUUUCCCUGCCCCCAUUAUUGUUUCUAAGGGCAUCUUUGAUCACAAUUUCAAGCUUCAUAUUUUUUUCACUUUUAAUUUUAUAGAUAGAUUAAUCAAUCUCCAAUCAUCCAUUUAUCUUCCUAUGUAAAGUCAUUUACUAGAUAAAUUAUAUUAUUUUAUAAAAAAAAAUUAAAUAACGAAAUAUAUGAUCUUUCUCGGAUGAAGAUAACUUGCAAAUUUAAUGGUAUAGUUUAGAAAUUGGGGUUGAGAAGUACCAGUAGUUAUGCUAUAUUUACCUGAUGAUCUCGUAUCGUAACUUUUUUUACACGUGGGAUUUUUUUGCUUACAGCUCAUACUCUAUAACACACUUCCGCCAUUUCACAUGUGACUUCAUCUUUUGACCAGGGUUCUGUAAAUAGAAUUUUGAGCAAGAUCCCCUUAAUACAUAACUGAAUAAACAACACUCGUAGAGAUGAAUUCUGCUGGCGGAACUAGGGAAGAAACCCUAGCUUAGUCAAAGUUUUUUUUUUCUUCCAGAUAUUUGUUUUUUUUCAGAUAUUUUUUUAUUUGAGCUCUUAAAAAUAACAGUGAACCAAUAAAAAGUAUUUAUUGUGCAAAUUUUAAUUCUAGAUUAUUUUGAUUCAUGUCAUAUUGUCAUUGACUAACAGGCCAAAGUCAUUUUGUUAAUGGGCUCUAUUUUCUUGACCAAAAUCAUACUGUUUCCCCUACUAUUAUCCUGAGCCCAUGUUUUCAAAUUUCAAUUACGCCCAACCACCAGUCCAGAGUAGUUGUUGUUGGGCCACAAGGUAACCAUCCAAUGUCUAAACUAAUCAUAGUCCAAAUAAAAUUUUUUCAUAAAAACUGCGUGUACGUGAAUCCAGGGCAGAGGACUGAACAUGACUCCACUUGAGUUGAGCAAGAAAACCGCAAUCAUAUAUCUUUGAUUUUUAAAAUUGAAAACCGCAACCGUCAAUCGGGGUCGGUUUCGGUUUCGGUUUAAGAAACUUCGAUUCGGUUAAUAGUCGGCUCGGUUUCGAUUACAAAAUCGACAAAUAUAAGAAUGAAAAAUAGUACACAAACGAGACAAAUUAAUGCACGUAAUCUAGACAUAAUAAUUAAUAUAAUAUUAAAAUUUAACAAAAGUAACCGUAUUUUAUUUAAAACACUCUUGCCAGUAAUAUAAAACUAGUCUUAGUCAGAAUUUUCAUACAGAAUACGAAUCAGAACUUCCGGCUGAUUGGCUUUUUUAACACAUGCUUCAUGAAGAUUGAGAAAAUGUGACAGGGAAAAUAGGAAAUACAGAUUGGCAGUGGCCAGUCAGCAUGAGAUAUUCACUGAACAUCAAAUAUUAACAUAGACGGAUGUUUCUGUAAGUGUUAGAAUAGAUUUAUUAUAUUUAUUACAUAUUACAUAUAUUAUUUAUUAUUAUUUUAAUAACCGGUUCCGUUUGGUUUUUAUUGGUUCGGUUGGGAGGUAUAACCGGAACCAAACCGUUUAAAUCAGAUCAAUUUUUAAUUUUUCGGUUUCUAAUUGGUUUUUUUGAGUUUUUCCAAAUUUCGAUUCGUUUUGAUUUUAAAUCGGUUUUUUGCUAAGUCCUAAAUUAAGGUAUGGGUUCAAUUAUAGACAAGGUUAAGCUUACUUUUUAAAAAGUCUAACAUCACAAGUAAAUGGUUCACAAGUAAAUGGUCUUAAAACUAUAAAGAAACCAGGAUUGAAGCUCAAAAAUUAUCACCACUACACCCUUUUUUCGUGGUGCAACAAAUUUGGCCUAAAUCAAACGCAAAUCAAACGCAUUUAUACAAGACAAAUGACAGUCUUAAUAUAGGAUUACCCCAUUUUGGUUCAACCAUGAACACUGUUUGAACUAUGCGAUAGUUUCUUUACUAAAAUAUACUUCAGACUCUGGAACUGGAAGGACUAUGGGCCACUUAAAUGCAGCAUAUAUCUUGCAAUUUGAGCUCGAUAAUGGCAAAUUCCAAAUGCAAUCUAUCCACACAUUACACUCAAGUGCGAAAGAAUGAUCCAUGUAUUUUAAGGGUUUUGGUUCCUGGCAUGUGUACAUCAGGGAGUACUUAUAUAACAUACUGAUUUUGGAUCGUUGGAUGAUAUAUGCAUCUAACGGACAUAAUUAUAAAAAAAAUUCGUCAUGCUCAAUUUUUUUUUAUUUGUUUUUUUGCAUAUGAUAUGUAACUUGAAUAAUAAGAGGAAGGGGGAAAGUGAUGCAACUGCAAUUGAAGAAGUCAGUAGUCACUUAUUUAAAUUUCAAAGUACAAAGCCCAAAUAAGCAAUUUCCAAAGAGCUAAGCAAUGAAGGGCCAAGAAAUGGCUAGCUACUGCUAAAGAAAGCAAGUCCUCAUUCCUUGAUCAGAAGAGAUAAGGCAACCGCUCUCAUGCCACGUGUCAACUCAAUAAGAGUGUUUAAUGAUAAGGCAACCAAUCCAAAUUGCUCACACUGUGUGGCUACCAUGUUGCCUUGUCAACUUCACUGUAAUUCAAUGGUCAGAAAAAUUCUGAACUUUAGGAGGUGAAUUGGGAACCAUUGGAUCAGCAGGUUAAACGAUAAUGAGAUGAAAUGCCUAUAUAUUGGAUAGGUGAAGGAACAGAAGCAAGCCUCUCAAACACAAGAGAAGAAAGUAAAAGAACAAGAAGAGAGUAUUAGUACUCAUGGCUUCUUCAAUGAUAUCAUCAGUAGCACCGGUUACCCGUGCAUCCCCUGCUCAGGCUAACAUGGUCGCGCCUUUCACCGGCCUCAAGUCCAUCGCAUCAUUCCCCGUCACCCGAAAGCUUGAGAAUGACAUUACCUCUAUUACCAGCAACGGAGGAAGAGUUCAAUGCAUGAAGGUAUAUAUCUAUACUACUUAAUACUCAGAUAUAUUAUGUGCUAAUGAGGAACCAGUAUAACAUGGCAGAACAUUUCUUAGUUAGUUAUUGCUCAUUUGCUCUCAAAGUAGCACAAUUCUAAGUCAGAUAAAGCAGUCCUAGGUAACUUUAGAGUGAGUAACUUCAGAAUUUUCCUUGAAUAUGUCAAUAAUA